GUGUCAGCCGCCGCGGUAAUACGGAGGGGGCUAGCGUUGUUCGGAAUUACUGGGCGUAAAGCGCACGUAGGCGGCUUGGUAAGUUAGAGGUGAAAGCCUGGGGCUCAACCCCAGAAUUGCCUUUAAGACUGCUGGGCUUGAACGUCGGAGAGGUGAGUGGAAUUCCGAGUGUAGAGGUGAAAUUCGUAGAUAUUCGGAAGAACACCAGUGGCGAAGGCGGCUCACUGGACGACUGUUGACGCUGAGGUGCGAAAGCGUGGGGAGCAAACAGGAUUAGAAACCCCCGUAGUCC
This 292-nucleotide ribosomal RNA is filed under the name uncultured bacterium. Its description in RNAcentral is "partial 16S ribosomal RNA". It matches the Rfam family "Bacterial small subunit ribosomal RNA", at positions 505 to 796 of the family's 1533-position model. The record is from RNAcentral.